GAUAUUUCAUUACAUUCCCAUCUUUCAAGUGGUGUAACGUUCAGCACCAUCAAGUCCACAAGCCAGUUUAACUAACAAAUGACUUAUGGAGGCAAACUCUUUCAUCUUACAUACAUAUUAGGCUGGGUAUCACAUCAAUAUAAGAGGAGUCCCCAAAAUUC
Thalassophryne amazonica is the source of this 161-nucleotide long non-coding RNA. RefSeq lists it as uncharacterized. Lineage: Eukaryota; Metazoa; Chordata; Actinopteri; Batrachoidiformes; Batrachoididae. The transcript is spliced from 3 exons. The record is from RefSeq and is a predicted model, not a curated record.